GGACUACUGGGGUAUCUAAUCCUGUUUGCUCCCCACGCUUUCGUGCCUCAGUGUCAGGAACGUUCCAGAGCGCCGCCUUCGCCACCGGCCUUCCUCCCGAUCUCUACGCAUUUCACCGCUACACCGGGAAUUCCGCGCUCCUCUCCCGCCCUCUAGCUAGGCAGUCACCUGCGACCUUCCUGGGUUAAGCCCAGGUCUUUCCCGCAGGUCUUACCUAACCACCUACGCACCCUUUACGCCCAGUAAAUCCGAACAACGCUUGCCACCUCUGUCUUACCGCGGCUGCUGGCAC
This 292-nucleotide ribosomal RNA is filed under the name uncultured bacterium. RNAcentral's name for it is "partial 16S ribosomal RNA". The record is from RNAcentral.